This 1242-nucleotide ribosomal RNA is filed under the name metagenome. RNAcentral's name for it is "bacterial LSU rRNA". It matches the Rfam family "Bacterial large subunit ribosomal RNA", at positions 1564 to 2815 of the family's 2925-position model. The record is from RNAcentral.
UGAAUACGAGAUGCUACGGCGUCGAAGCAGUCUAUGUCAUACUUCCAAGAAAAGCUUGCACUGUCAUAAACAAAUAAUGCCUGUACCAUAACCGACACAGGUGGGUAGGUAGAGUAUACUAAGGGGCGCGAGAUAACUCUCUCUAAGGAACUCGGCAAAAUGACUCCGUAACUUCGGGAGAAGGAGUGCCUUAUUUAUAAGGUUGCAAUAACAAGAUCCAAGCAACUGUUUACCAAAAACACAGGUCUCCGCUAAGUCGUAAGACGAUGUAUGGGGGCUGACGCCUGCCCAGUGCCAGAAGGUUAAAGAAGUUGGUUAGCAUCCGCGAAGCUGAUAACUGAAGCCCUGGUGAACGGCGGCCGUAUCGAUAACGGUCCUAAGGUAGCGAAAUUCCUUGUCGGGUAAGUUCCGACCCGCACGAAAGGCGUAAUGAUUUGGAUACUGUCUCGGAGAGGGGCUCGGUGAAGUAGACUUGUCUGUGAAGAUGCGGACUACCUGCACCAGGACAGAAAGACCCUAUGAAGCUUUACUGUAACCUGAAAUUGAAAUUGGACUUUACUUGCGCAGUAUAGGUGGGAGGCGUUGAGAAUAUUCUUGCGGGAUUAUUGGAGCCAUCAGUGAGAUACCACUCUUGUAAUGUUAGAUUUCUAACUUUGUAUCAUUAUCUGGUCAAAGAACAGUUUCAGGCGGGCAGUUUGACUGGGGCGGUCGCCUCCUAAACGGUAACGGAGGCGCACAAAGGUUUCCUCUGAACGGGUAGAAAUCGUAUCUAGAGUGUAAAGGCAUAAGGAAGCUUGACUGUGAGACCUACAAGUCGAGCAGGGACGAAAGUCGGUCUUAGUGAUCUGACGGUGCUGAGUGGAAAGGCCGUCACUCAACGGAUAAAAGUUACUCUAAGGAUAACAGGCUGAUCUCCCCCAAGAGUUCACAUCGACGGGGAGGUUUGGCACCUCGAUGUCGGCUCAUCGCAUCCUGGGGCGGUAGUACGUCCCAAGGGUUGGGCUGUUCGCCCAUGAAAGCGGUACGCGAGCUGGGUUCAGAAUGUCGUGAGACAGUUCGGUCCAUAUCCGGUGUAAGCGUUAGAAUACUGAGAGGAGCCUUCUUUAGUACGAGAGGACCGAGAAGGACAUACCUCUGGUGUACCAGUUAUCGUGCCAACGGUAAACGCUGGGUAGCUAUGUGUGGAGUGGAUAACCGCUGAAAGCAUCUAAGUGGGAAGCCCACCUCAAGAUAAGUAUUCUC